Triticum aestivum (bread wheat) is the source of this 5209-nucleotide RNA transcript. It is a transcript of the gene named eukaryotic translation initiation factor 3 subunit F, with no coding region annotated. NCBI's taxonomy places the organism in Eukaryota, Viridiplantae, Streptophyta, Magnoliopsida, Poales, Poaceae. The record is from RefSeq and is a predicted model, not a curated record. The transcript has 3 exons.
ACUCAUCCCUAUCCUUUCAUCGAAACGCAAUCCCCUUUUCUUCUCCAUGGCUUUCUCUCGUACUACUCCUCGCCAUGGCCUUGCUUUUUUUCUCUGCUGCCGCCGUGAGGGAAAACCAUCUGCGGUGGCUGGGGCGCCAGGGUGUAGACGGCCAGCCACGCGCUGCAAGCGCCUGAGCCGGGGGCGUAGGAUGCUCCGCCGGUGGGCGGCGGAGCUGCAGUUCAACGGGCGUGCUGCUGCACGGCGACGUCGGAGUUCCAGUGCAACACACAUGUGGUGGGCGGAGGAGCUGCAGUGCAACAGCCAUGUGCCGGCGGCGGAGCAGUGCAACGGCCAUGGUGUUGCGCACCGUCGGCGGAGCUACAGUGCAACACGGUGGUGAGUGAUGUAGCUCCAGUGCAACGGGGCGUGGUGUUCUGCGCUAGCGGCGGAGCUGCAAUGCAACACGCCGAUGUUGCUAUGGAGUGUCGUCGGGGGCCGCCGGUGUUGCUAUGGAGCUUCGCCAGGCCGCCAGUGUUGUAUUGGAGCAUCACUGACGUUGCUAUGGACCGUCAUCGAGGCCGCCGGUGUUGCUAUGGAGCAUUGUCGGGGGUCGCCGGUGUUGCUAUGGAGCGUCUUCGGGUCCGCCGGUGUUGCUAUGGAGCGCCGUCGGUGUGCUGUAUUGCCGCAUCGCCGGGCAACCGGUGCUGUAUUGAAGCAUCGUUGGGACCACGUUGUGUUGCAUAUGGGUUAUGACGGCUGGGCUGUUGCCGGAGCUGAAGUUGUCCGCCGGGGAACAGAGGAACCCUCGCCGGAGUUCCAAGCCAUGGCGGAGUAGGCCAUGUCUCUGGCGAUGUGGUGCGCCAUCGCGGGAGGUGGAGUAGGUGGAGGGGUGGAGGUGGAGAGAAGGGGCGGCGCCCGCGGGUCGUUGUAGUCUCCGGCGAGCUAAAAUCGCAGGGCAGGUGGAGAUGGAGGAAGCGCCGCGAUUUGCGGCCACAGAUGGGGAUCUGUUCGCGUGGGGGGCGUCCUGUUUCAUUGCAACGCAUCGACCGCUAUGGACGACGGGCUUUGCGAGAGGAAGCGUGCACGUGCAGAUCGGACGGACGCGGUGUUCUACAUGGGACGGCCGCGAAGGCGACUUAGGAAUCGGAUAGCAUCGCCCGACUUACGCCUAGCAUCGCCAAUCAUCCUCCGCUCAGCUUGGCCUCCCCGCCGCCCGCCGGUCAAGAACACCGGGAUGCCUAUGCCUGUGCUGCCACACGGAAGUACAUGAGCGUGGGGCGGCGUCCUCCUCUGCUGCCCAACGGACGCCGACGACCUCAUCUGGGAGCAGAUAAACCUGUAAGUUUCCUUUAACUUGCAGAUAUUGCGCUGAUUUGCCGCAUGGUGUGCUAGAACUACACUCCAGGGGAAUAUUUGUUCGGAAUCUCCAGUCUUGUAAUUUUCUCCUUGAUGACAAUGACCAUGCCGUGCUGGGGAUUUGGGUUACAUCCUUGCUGUUUGGACUUUCGCUGCCAAAUCCAGAUCUUAUCCAAAGACUUGGGACUCCAAAUUACAUGCCCCAGAACAUUGGCGACCAAACAUCAGAGGCCCAAUUAGUUACGAGACAUACUCAUUGGGGUUUCGCCUGCAGCAUUCUUGAGAUGUUCAGUGGCAUUCAGCCUUGGCGUGCCAAAUCAUCAGAUGAGAUUUAUCAAUCGGCUGUCGUGAAGAAAGAGAAACAGAUAUUCCCGUACAAUUUACAUACGGAGGUCGAGAAUGUCCUCUCUGGCUGCUUUGAGUAUGACUUUCGGGAUCGCUCCUUGAUGUCAUAUAUUUUACAAUCAUUUGAAAGUGCUCAAGAUGUGGAUUGUAACAACACUGGCUGGGAUAGUUAUGAAAAUCCAAGGCCAACUCAACCAAGUCGCACUAAUUGGUCACACUUUAAGGAUAUGUUGUAAAUCGGUGACAUGGUCCGCUCGAGAAAGCUUAAAAGCUCUUGUACUCCUGAAACAAUGGAAAUCCCUUAUGUAACCAUGGUUGGCUUGGAGGAGGAAGAACGUGCUAGCUACAUUCUUGUACAACUCCAUGGGUUACAAGACCCUGUGAAGGUCCCCUCCUCGUCCUGGAGACUGGGUAAGGCUUAGGGAGGAAGACAAGAAGCGGUCCCAGGUUGGAAUUCUUCAUAGCAUCGACCGCAAUGGCACUAUGUGUGCUGGUUUGAUAGCAAUGGAUACCCUCAGGAAGGGGGGAUAUUCUUCAUAGUUAUCAUAAAACAUCUUCAAUUUCUGCACAUAUACAAGUCGCAGGUGCUGGCAAUUUUAUAUUUUGCUAUGCAAAUGUACAAUUGGCUUUCAUAGAAUAAAAUGAGAUUUGAGAGGUAAGCAUCUGAACAAAACAAUUGCACCGUAAGGCAGUUUAUACUUGCUACACUUAAAGAGAAGACUACACUACAUGCUAUAUUACUAAAUUGCUAAAUAAUUGCUGAUUUAAUUAAAUGAGAAUAUGUUUCCUGCUAUUACUCUAUGCAGCAACUUAACCACAGUGGUGUCUCACUUUUGAAAAUACAAUUUUGAGCGACAUCAAACAUCUUUAUCCAUUUGAUUUUUUUUGCAAUAUUUAGUUUUAUUCUAUAGUACGUGAAUCUCACCUGGUUUACAUUUGAGACGUGCGUACAACCAUCGAUGCUAAUAUCGGUUGAUUUCUGUGGCCAAUUAUGUGCAUGCAAUACUUUGAGAUCUAAAUGUCGCCGGAAAAGAUAAAAGUUGUACAUGUACGUCUACUCAGAUUUUUGGACUUUUGUGUGCAUCGGGAAUGCAUAAUUAAGCUAUGCAUUGCCUAUCAUCUCCUAAACUCUAUUACAGGAAGCAUGGUUUCAUUUUAGGGCGAUGCUAGGUGUCAACCGACUGAUUUCCUGGGGAAAUAAGUCGGGUCGCCAGCCGUUCGAUGCAUCCUCCUAGAGCCGGGUCAACGGAAGCAACGACCGUAUCGCCGUAGGGACGCAGGGCCGCAUGCUGGCAGUAGGAGCCGCGCCCCCCUCGCCGGCAGCGCAACGACGCUUUGCCGACGGCGCCGGCGAUGCUACACUGCAGCUCCUACCCCGCUGCAUCGCAGCUCAGGGGCUCCGGUGAAGCUCCAAUGCAGCCGCCGGUGAAGCUACAAUGCAGCACCGCCCGUUGUAGUGCAGUUCCGGGCUCGCCGGUGAAGCUCCAUUGCAGCGCCGACGAUGCUUCACUGCAGCACCGACGCCGGCGCGGCGGCGGUCCAUCGAUGCUCCAUAGCAGCACUCAACGCCGUCGGUGAUGUUUCACUGCAGCCCGCACCGACGCGGCGAGCUUCAUAGCAGCACCCGACGGCCCCGCCGGCGGAGCUUCACUGCAGCGCCCCACCGCUUGCUGGAGCUCCGCUGUAGCACCGACUACCCUCGCCGAAGCUCCAUGGCAGCACCCAAGGGCCUCCGGUGAAGCUUCACUACAGAGCCCCCUCCGGCUUGGCGGUGCUCCAUCGCAGCACGACGGCAAUGCGGUUGAUGCGACGAAGCACGCGGCGGCGACGGGCGGAUGCUAUGACGCAGCACGAUGCCGACGGGAAAUGGGGUGACGCAGCACGCGGUGGUGACGACGGAUGCGACGCCGAGGGCGGAUGCUUCGUCGUCCAUCCCCCCUCCCCCCCACCCCCAUGCCCCGCCCAGGUGGGAGCUUCUCCAUGGUUGAUGUGGAUUUAGCCGGCGUCGGCUCAUCCUUGCAGCAGCAGGUGGAGGAGAAAAAAGGAAGGAAGAAGAUGAGGAGGGGGACGAGUGAAGGAGGAGGAGCCGGAAGGGAUAAGGUGGGAGGAAAAAGCGAUGGACUGGGGGGGGCACGUGGCGUGCGUACGAGGCGGCUUACCGAGACAGAAAAAUCAUCCGGUUUAAACUAAACGUUUCCCUUCAUUUUAUCCCAUAUAUCAGUACAUAAGUAUGUUUAGCUUAUAUAUAAUUGGUGAUUUGUCCAUGGAAAUUGAUGACUUUUAUCUUCUGCAUCUGUUUUGAUCUUUUUAAGCACAUCCUUAAAUUGGUGAUUUUUUCUGUUAAUGUCGAACCAAUUUUAGCAAAUGAUUUUCUUUGUUACGAUAAUUCUGAGUGCAUUUUGUCAGUUUGAUAUUGGAGAACUAAAAACUAACUCUAGUGCUUUGAUGAAUUUUGUGUUUCCUCAAUAGUGUCUUGAAUCUAAAAUCAUAAAAGUAUUACAUGCACAUACUUAUAUGAAUCAAGCCUUACAUGAUUCGCUCUUUUACUGAUGGGCUGAGGAGGUCAGAGAUGUACAAUAGCCGUAUUGAUCCAAAUGACAAGUACGGCAGUGCUAACCUGCUUGCCUAGAAUUUUACCACAUCCUAAGACUUGCAAAUCUGUACAAUAGGAAUGGCUAGUUGUUUUCUGGUCUACAACCGUGACAUGUAGUGGCAUCUCUCACCAUGUCUGCACAUAGUGUUUAGGUAUGAUUGUUGCAUACUGUCGACAAGGGCGCGACGUUUUUUCUGAACUGAAUUUUUUUUUGCUUACUGGUUGAGCUCGGUUUCAACUCUUACUUGAGUAGUUGAUCGGCAAGCCUGAUGCAGGUGUAUGAAAAUUAUGCAGUUCCAUUAGCUCUGGAGUUGUCCAGUAUACUACUGAGGCCUACAUAUUUUGCUGAUGCAGGUUGGAGGUGAACAUGAACUCUGGCAAUCCAAAAUAGCAGAUAUAAAAUAACUGCAGCUCAGGCCAUGUAGUUCUACAACAAUCAAGGAAGAAGUCCGGUUUUUUAAGCCGACCUCGGCCAAACAAUUUAAGCUUACAUGGGUGCUCUCUAUUUUUCAGAGGUGCGUGUACGGAGAGCGCCCAUGAUUCAGGGCAAAAAAUCUAGACAAAGUGAAAAAACUUUUGUACGAGUGGUGAUAGCCUGUUUAAGGAUGUUGACUGUGGCUACACAACUUCAACAACGUGCUUGCAACUCAUGAGUGGCAAAGUAUAACAUGCCGCCUUUUUCUUUAAACAAGCCCCUUCAAAUUAUGUAUGCAAUAUGCUGGGAAGAACUCAUGACAAAGCCUUAUUUGUAUGCACGUCUUAAUGUAUUUUCAUACUGGCUCAAGUAAUGUACUCUUUGUUAGGAUUUAAUUAAUCCUAUUAAUCCCUGCUUUUCUAACCGAGGCGGUUGCCUCACAUCCCUUCGGUCGCACCCCUUCAGGGGCUAUAUAUAUGUGUAAUCCCAUCAUCAAUGAGAAGGAAAGUUUACUUUUA